UACGUAGGGUGCGAGCGUUAAUCGGAAUUACUGGGCGUAAAGCGUGCGCAGGCGGUUAUGUAAGACAGAUGUGAAAUCCCCGGGCUCAACCUGGGAACUGCAUUUGUGACUGCAUUGCUGGAGUGCGGCAGAGGGGGAUGGAAUUCCGCGUGUAGCAGUGAAAUGCGUAGAUAUGCGGAGGAACACCGAUGGCGAAGGCAAUCCCCUGGGCCUGCACUGACGCUCAUGCCCGAAAGCGUGGGGAGCAAACAGG
This 253-nucleotide ribosomal RNA is filed under the name uncultured bacterium. RNAcentral's name for it is "partial 16S ribosomal RNA". It matches the Rfam family "Bacterial small subunit ribosomal RNA", at positions 524 to 776 of the family's 1533-position model. The record is from RNAcentral.